GUUGCUGGGUUGACGGUGGAGGGAACAGGGAAUAGUGGAGCAGCUUUGGGCAUGGCAGAGGAGUCAACGUUGGGGCUCAGCUAGCGAGGGGUUGACGCUGGAUGUGGCAGCUCUGUGAGUGGAGAUGGGGCUGUCGGUUUGGGGGUGUCGUGGAUGUGGCGUGAGGCAGGAGACGGGCAGCAAAAUCGGUGCAGUACAGACGCCAAUGGAGCAGCAGAAUUGGCGCGGGGAGGUGGGCUUCGAUUCGGUGAGUUUGAGAAGAAGACCGAGGAGAGGAAAUCGUAGCAGGUGGGAGGCUUUCGACGAAACAGAAUGAAAGAAAAGCAGAAGUGUUCGAGCGUGCAGAAGAAGAC
Molecule: long non-coding RNA, 353 nt
Filed under: Eucalyptus grandis
Lineage: Eukaryota; Viridiplantae; Streptophyta; Magnoliopsida; Myrtales; Myrtaceae
Description: long non-coding RNA (EGRA_LNC005507)
Source: RNAcentral